AAGCGGAGGAAAAGAAACUAACAAGGAUUCCCCUAGUAGCGGCGAGCGAAGCGGGAAGAGCUCAAAUUUAUAAUCUGGCACCUUCGGUGUCCGAGUUGUAAUCUCUAGAAAUGUUUUCCGCGUUGGACCGCACACAAGUCUGUUGGAAUACAGCGGCAUAGUGGUGAGACCCCCGUAUAUGGUGCGGACGCCCAGCGCUUUGUGAUACAUUUUCGAAGAGUCGAGUUGUUUGGGAAUGCAGCUCAAAUUGGGUGGUAAAUUCCAUCUAAAGCUAAAUAUUGGCGAGAGACCGAUAGCGAACAAGUACCGUGAGGGAAAGAUGAAAAGCACUUUGGAAAGAGAGUUAACAGUACGUGAAAUUGUUGGAAGGGAAACGCUUGAAGUCAGACUUGCUUGCCGAGCAAUCGGUUUGCAGGCCAGCAUCAGUUUUCCGGGAUGGAUAAUGGUAGAGAGAAGGUAGCAGUUUCGGCUGUGUUAUAGCUCUCUGCUGGAUACAUCUUGGGGGACUGAGGAACGCAGUGUGCCUUUGGCGGGG
This 535-nucleotide ribosomal RNA is filed under the name Rhodotorula mucilaginosa. RNAcentral's name for it is "eukaryotic LSU rRNA". It matches the Rfam family "Eukaryotic large subunit ribosomal RNA", at positions 48 to 579 of the family's 3401-position model. The record is from RNAcentral. Lineage: Eukaryota; Fungi; Basidiomycota; Microbotryomycetes; Sporidiobolales; Sporidiobolaceae.